AGUGAACGCUGGCGGUAGGCCUAACACAUACAAGUCGAACGGCAGCACAGUAAGAGCUUGCUCUUACGGGUGGCGAGUGGCGGACGGGUGAGGAAUACAUCGGAAUCUACUUUUUCGUGGGGGAUAACGUAGGGAAACUUACGCUAAUACCGCAUACGACCUACGGGUGAAAGCAGGGGAUCUUCGGACCUUGCGCGAUUGAAUGAGCCGAUGUCGGAUUAGCUAGUUGGCGGGGUAAAGGCCCACCAAGGCGACGAUCCGUAGCUGGUCUGAGGGGAUGGUCAGCCACACUGGAACUGAGACACGGUCCAGACUCCUACGGGAGGCAGCAGUGGGGAAUAUUGGACAAUGGGCGCAAGCCUGAUCCAGCCAUACCGCGUGGGUGAAGAAGGCCUUCGGGUUGUAAAGCCCUUUUGUUGGGAAAGAAAAGCAGCAGGUUAAUACCCCGCUGUUCUGACGGUACCCAAAGAAUAAGCACCGGCUAACUUCGU
This 491-nucleotide ribosomal RNA is filed under the name uncultured bacterium. RNAcentral describes it as "partial 16S ribosomal RNA". It matches the Rfam family "Bacterial small subunit ribosomal RNA", at positions 29 to 506 of the family's 1533-position model. The record is from RNAcentral.